UCUUCAAAACCACUGGGCAAAUCCUCCUCUUUGAAUGGUAUAUAUGUCAAUUCCACCUCUAGCCGCCCACAUGACUUUUCAUUUUGAGGAUCAUUCAAAUCCAUAUUUUUAAGGAGGUCAAGAGUCAUAACUUUUGGAUCCUCUGGUGGAAGUUCUUUUAGAGGAACUACAUUCAUACCCAUCUUAUCAUGUUUGCCAACCUGCUCCCAAUCAUAAACAUGAAACUCUACAGCCUGAGUCUCUGGAUCUUUAACAACCAAAUUGAAUUCCUCAUUCCAUUCAGGGUUCAAGUUCUUGUGUUUUACAGUUGUCUUCUUUGAUGGAAG
RNAcentral lists this unclassified non-coding RNA (326 nucleotides) under Hevea brasiliensis (rubber tree). Lineage: Eukaryota; Viridiplantae; Streptophyta; Magnoliopsida; Malpighiales; Euphorbiaceae. The record is from RNAcentral.